UCAGGUCUGCUCCCCUGUCUGAUUUCCAUUGCUGGAGUCAGCCCCGAGCUGGCUGCGUGUAAUUUGGCUUCCUUGCAGGGGUGAUGGCCAUGGGUCGGUGCUCAGCUUCCAGGAAGGACCAGGCUGGGUGGAGAGCCAUGCCGAGAGGGUGGCCAUUUUAACGAGGGAUUUCUUUGUGCUUUUUUUUAAUUAACCUUUGUUUUCUGUCAAGAAAGCUGUCCCGAGGCAUGACUUAGCAAGGCAAACAUGCCUGGACAAAGGGAGCAUUAAGCCUGCACAGAGGGAGGGGAGAGGGUUACACCUCUAAUUACUUUGUGUGCCUGUAAUUUUUUUCCCCUCUGGUGACUGAUGGGUCAUGAAAGGACUUGCCGGGGCUGGUGUGUGAUUCACUGGGGCAGAGCAUGUUCCCGGCUGAUGCUGAGGGCUGUCUGGGUGCCCAGGGCACGCAAUGCCAUCGCGCGGGUGUUGCUCACGCCUGAGUCAGCGCUUGUGCUGGGGAUUGGGCUGUGGGAAGGAGAUGGUCCUGAGCUGCCUUCAGGUGUCCCUUCCCCUAAACAAGGACACAAGCGGGGACAAUGAGUAUGGGGCUCUGCCACCUUCCCAAUGGGCAGCAGUCUCCAAACUGCCUGACCUGCCAUCCCAUCCCAUCUUCUGGUCCUCACAUCUACUCGUGGAGCUCAGGGUAGGCAUCUGUGCCCUCCUGAACCAAAUGGGGUCAGAGGUUGGCCAGGAGGGGAGUUAGGGCUCAUGGUGUUCAUGUGGGAAGCAAGAAAAGGGAGGAAGGGGAACUGGGGCAGGAGUGGAGGUAGGUAGAAAAUAACCAGUUGUGGGGCCGGAGUUCUGGGGCAAGGAGGAGAAGCUGGGGCUGCCCAGGAGAGGGGAAGGACUUGCGGAGUAGUCUGCGGACCUGGCCUCAAGGCCAACGGGUUCGGAGGGCUUGGCAGGGAGCUGGGGAUCUGCAUUUUAGGCAAACGGUGUGAUGUGGAAUUCAAGGAGCUCCAAACUCAGUGGGGUUAGCUCCUAAAGAUCCCGCUGAAGAGAAUAACAUUUUGUCAGCCUGAUUUCGGCAAAGCUUUUGAAUCCAUUGACCAGCUCUGUGCCAGUGGGGUGGUGCUGAGGUCUGAUCACUUCCUCCCUGAAAGUUUGGUGGAAAUACCUGGUCAGGUAGAGGAGAGAGGCCCUGUUAGUGUCUGUUUGGAGGGACAGGCUGCAGUGUGGGCUCAACUACCAUAUGAGACAUCAGAACAUCCACAUGGGUGCUAGUGACCAAGAUGAGUUGCACUAUUUCUGCCAUGGCUGGCUAUCCUUCUGGGAAACAACACACUUGUUGCACCAAAAAAAAGUUCAGGGGUGGCCUCCAUCCCCUUCCUCUCACACCUGAUUUCCUUCUCAAACCAGGUAAAAUGCUCAGGCUCCCCCUGGUCCCCCCUAGGGAUUUGCUGCCCUUGAGGAGGGUUUUCUUUUUUUUUUUUUCUGUCGCUGGGAGGAUGCUGUCAGCAUUUUGGCAGGGUUUGGAGUGGCUGCUGGUACCGCACAGCGUUGGGACCCUCCUGUGCAUUGAUGUUCCAGGUUUCCUUCCUAUAACUUGAGGCUUCCACAGGUUUUGUGAAUGCCACUCCGUAACUUGAGUCGAUCCUGCUGCUGUGACUCUUUCCCCUGCUUUUCCCUUCAUUUCACCAAUUUUUCUUUCUUGCUGGGAGAUGAUCCCACAUUCUAAUAAACCUCACUUCAUGUUUUAGAGAAAAUAUUUGUCAGCAGAUUUUCCCUCCUCCCCUAUGAAUAUCUUGCAUUGUUUUCAUUAAUUUGUCUCCAGCAGAAGGGAAUGAGCGUCUUUGCCGUUUUGAACAAAUUCCUCACCCAGCCAGCGUGGGGAAAUCUGUCUCCAGUGUCACCCGUUUGGCAGGGGGAGAGCUGUGGGAACUGAAGUAUGGAAGCUCAGUUGCAUCCUACAGAUUGCAACAGGGCUAUGAGGAGGUCUUUUUUAAGGAGAGAGGAAAAAAAAAAUCCAACCAAACCUGUCUGGGGGUCCUUUCAUUAAGCAGAGCCGAGGGACUGCAGCAAACUACCUCUUUUACAGGAAUCCCUUUUGGCUUGAAAGGAAUUAUUCAGGCAGUUACGCAAUCCAUGUUGCGUUUUCAAUUUGUCACAGUUUCUCCCCUACCCCCACUUUGUCCACCGGCCCAACCGGGCUCCUGCUGGGUCCCUCCACUGACCGAUGUGCGUUAGAAAAAGCCCUAACACGUAUGUACAGUCCCGAUCCGGCAGCCCUCGUGCACUGGGAUCUCUGCUUGGAGCAAGUGCCUGUGGCGCGGCUGCAGGUCGAGAGUCCCUCCCAGUGUAAGGUUACCCCCGCCAGGAGGGAGAGCCGUCAUUUUUCAGCACGAAUUCUUUCCUGAAAGGCUGCGGUUGCCUGGUGUCUCGGCUUCCCUCUGUGGAUCCGUGUGGGAAAGCCGCUAGCAUUUCUCAGCUGUUUGCAUUCCUUGCAGGAGGAAACCUCAGAGGCUGAGGUCUUUGGUCCUUUGGAGUCGUAACCUGAACGUGGCUGCGGAGCAAAGGUACUGGGGAAAGCUCAGGACCUUUGCUGCAGUAAUGCUGGCUCCGAUGGGCGAUGGCUGAGCUUGGUGUUUUAUCUUACUCAAGCAGUUUCAGACGCCGGAUGGAGUGGUUUGCUUGCACUGCUGUAGCAUUGUCCUGGAAAAAAUGAUUCCUCCUGGCCACGCUGCGCUGCCGCGGGAGCACCUGAUGGCCAUUGUCCCUCCUCGUGCUCCUCCAAGAGGAGAGCAGGAUCUGAGCUGCAGGCGAUGCCCGUCAGCAUGGGCAGUGCCCACAUGCACGCAGGCUGAUUCAUGGUGGUGAUGCAAAACAGCUGAACUGCCAGGGGAUGGGGCAACAGGGAUUUUUUCAUCCUGCUCCUCCCAUUCAGUACUUUGCAAGGAUCAGUGGAGGGAAUGGGUGUUCCAUCUUUGGAGAUGCACCAAGGUGGUGGCACAUGGAGACCUCAGAUGGGUGCACACUUCCUGGGGCUGUGGUCGGGAGUCAGAACUAAAAAGAAAACAGAAGAAAGCCAACUAAACCUUUCCCCAGACUGCUUUUGCUUCUCUCUUUGUAGCAGCUUGGGCCUUGAAUACAACACCCCCCACGUUUCCCCAUGCCUCUUACUAAUUCCUCCUGCUUCAACAAGUGCUCGAGCCCCAGCUGCUGAGCAGCAGCCCUGGGCUGUGGUUCAGCCCCCACCCCUCCCUGGGGCUGUGGACGUGCCAGUGCCUGCAUCCCUGUGCUGUGUCCUCCAGCCUGACACAGCUUUUUCCUUUCUUGCUCGUUUUUGAGGGGCUUGGGCUGGGGAUGGGAUGUGUUUUUCUUAGGUAUGUGAGCCUUGACAAUGUUCCUCAAAUUAUUCUGACCCGAGGAGAACAAAUCUUGCAAGAGUACUUGAGUUGUGAACUAGUUUGGUCUCUUGGGUGACACAUCACGGGGGCAAAUAUUGCUCCUUGCAAACAAGGUUAGUUGGAGUCAGGCGGUGUCUCACCUGGAGAAGGUGCACCUGAAUUCCUCCUUUGUGCUGAGUUAGCCCAUACCCCAGCCAGUGGCA
Cygnus olor (mute swan) is the source of this 3589-nucleotide long non-coding RNA. RefSeq lists it as uncharacterized. NCBI's taxonomy places the organism in Eukaryota, Metazoa, Chordata, Aves, Anseriformes, Anatidae. The record is from RefSeq and is a predicted model, not a curated record. The transcript is spliced from 2 exons.